GUCUAUGGUCAUACUGCCCUGAAUGCACCCGAUCUCAUCUGAUCUCAGAAGCUAAGCAGGGUUGGGCCUGGUUAGUACUUGGAUGGGGCAUUGCUUUUGAUGAGGGAGAUCUGUGUCCACUUGGAGA
Molecule: ribosomal RNA, 127 nt
Filed under: Carlito syrichta (Philippine tarsier)
Lineage: Eukaryota; Metazoa; Chordata; Mammalia; Primates; Tarsiidae
Source: RNAcentral